AUUGAACGCUGGCGGCAUGCCUUACACAUGCAAGUCGAACGGUAACAGGUCUUCGGAUGCUGACGAGUGGCGAACGGGUGAGUAAUACAUCGGAACGUGCCUAGUAGUGGGGGAUAACUACUCGAAAGAGUGGCUAAUACCGCAUGAGAUCUACGGAUGAAAGCAGGGGAUCGCAAGACCUUGUGCUACUAGAGCGGCCGAUGGCUGAUUAGGUAGUUGGUGGGAUAAAAGCUUACCAAGCCGACGAUCUGUGGCUGGUCGUAGAGCACGAUCAGACACGCGGGUACUGAGCAACGGCCCAGACUCCUACGGGAGGCAGCAGUGGGGAAUUUUGGACAAUGGGCGAAAGCCUGACCCAGCAAGGACGCGUGCAGGAUGAAGGCCUUCGGGUUGUAAACCGCUUCUGUACGGAACGAAAAGCCCCGGGUUAAUACCCUGGGGUCAUGACGGUACCGUAAGAAUAAGCACCGGCUAACUACGUGCCAGCCGCCGCCGUAA
RNAcentral lists this ribosomal RNA (498 nucleotides) under uncultured bacterium. RNAcentral describes it as "partial 16S ribosomal RNA". It matches the Rfam family "Bacterial small subunit ribosomal RNA", at positions 30 to 523 of the family's 1533-position model. The record is from RNAcentral.